Molecule: transfer RNA, 72 nt
Filed under: archaeon
Lineage: Archaea
Description: tRNA-Tyr
Rfam family: tRNA
About the family: Transfer RNA (tRNA) molecules are approximately 80 nucleotides in length.
Source: RNAcentral
CCCGUCGUAGUUUAGUGGUAGAACGACCGGCUGUAGACCGGUAGAUCCCCAGUUCAAAUCUGGGCGACGGGA